GUGGGGAAUCUUCCGCAAUGGACGAAAGUCUGACGGAGCAACGCCGCGUGAGUGAUGAAGGUCUUCGGAUUGUAAAGCUCUGUUAAUCGGGACGAAAGAGCCUAGUGUGAAUAAUGCUAGGAAGUGACGGUACCGGAAUAGAAAGCCACGGCUAACUACGUGCCAGCAGCCGCGGUAAUACGUAGGUGGCAAGCGUUGUCCGGAAUUAUUGGGCGUAAAGCGCGCGCAGGCGGAUCUGCCAGUCUGUCUUAAAAGUUCGGGGCUUAACCCCGUGAUGUGAUGGAGACUACAGAUCUAGAGUAUCGGAGAGGAAAGUGGAAUUCCUAGUGUAGCGGUGAAAUGCGUAGAUAUUAGGAAGAACACCAGUGGCGAAGGCGACUUUCUGGACGAAAACUGACGCUGAGGCGCGAAAGCCAGGGGAGCGAACGGGAUUAGAUACCCCAGUAGUCC
Molecule: ribosomal RNA, 450 nt
Filed under: uncultured bacterium
Lineage: Bacteria
Description: partial 16S ribosomal RNA
Rfam family: Bacterial small subunit ribosomal RNA
Source: RNAcentral